Molecule: long non-coding RNA, 1025 nt
Organism: Populus trichocarpa (black cottonwood)
Lineage: Eukaryota; Viridiplantae; Streptophyta; Magnoliopsida; Malpighiales; Salicaceae
Exons: 5
Source: RefSeq, a predicted model, not a curated record
CAGUUAAAAUCGAUGAACUCAAUAAACUCGAGUUUGACAAAAUUAACAAAACCCAUUGACUGACUCUUCUCAGUCCUCUCCUCUUCAUCCCGUCUUACAAAAAUUCCCCUCUCCCCAAAUCUCACAUUCUCUGAUUCUCAAAUCUCGACUCAACCAUAGCAGAAGCAGGCUAACACCAGCAACGUCUCCACUCUCUUUCUUUCUCUCAAAAAAUCAUCCCCUUAGCAAUGGUUACUUACAGCAAGAGCAUGACCCAACAUCUUGCCCUUCUCUCUACCAUCUUAGCUCAUAGGAAUCCCAGUACAGAAAUCUGUGCUCGGCUACUGGAAAGAGUGAAAGAAAGGAAGGGUUUUUGGGUUUGCAAAUUAAAUCAUGCCAAAUCUGCUGCCCUCUUCCUCCAGUAAACCUCAUGAUCAUGGUCCACAGUCCACACACUGCAUUUGGUUUGAUUUUCAGUCCAAAAAUAGCUUAAAUGGUCGUUUUUGAUCUGGAAGAAAACUAAGAAGUGCUGCAUUCAUGCUGAAUUUGUUUAACCUAUAGAGGCUGUCAUGGGUUCUAGCGCCAUUGGUCAGGAAAAGGUUGAGUUAUCCAUCAUUGAGUUAGAAUUACUUUGAUUAUAACUUGCAUAUUUGGAAGAGAGGGAAGCUCACUUGAAAGCUCAGUGAAUUUUUUAAUACAUGAGGGUCGAAGAGCUGCGACCGCAAUUCAUGAUGCUACCGACGAUGCUGUGCAUGGUGUUUUCAAUACUUGGUUCUCAUUGUACCGUUCUUCACUUGACGAGGUUGAGGAGGCUCAACGUUUGGACAAUGCAGUAAAAGAGGAUGACCGUGUUUAUCAUGCACUAUGACAAUAUACUCGUGGUUCUGAUGAUGAAGGCCCAUCAACGAGUUAAUUUGUUAGAUGUUUAACUAUGUAAUUUAAUUAAUUUGAAAAUGACUUGAUAUUCUUUAUUGUAACAGAUUAUUUUGAUGUUGAGAUUAAUUUUUUUAAUUAUAAAUUUAUCCACUAUAAAAAUUAGGUGAUUC